Molecule: ribosomal RNA, 324 nt
Filed under: uncultured Roseobacter sp.
Lineage: Bacteria; Pseudomonadati; Pseudomonadota; Alphaproteobacteria; Rhodobacterales; Roseobacteraceae
Description: bacterial SSU rRNA
Rfam family: Bacterial small subunit ribosomal RNA
Source: RNAcentral
CUAGCCAUGCCGCGUGUGUGAUGAAGGCCUUAGGGUCGUAAAGCACUUUCGCCAGAGAUGAUAAUGACAGUAUCUGGUAAAGAAACCCCGGCUAACUCCGUGCCAGCAGCCGCGGUAAUACGGAGGGGGUUAGCGUUGUUCGGAAUUACUGGGCGUAAAGCGCACGUAGGCGGAUUAUUAAGUUAGAGGUGAAAUCCCAGGGCUCAACCCUGGAACUGCCUUUAAUACUGCUAGUCUUGAGUUCGAGAGAGGUAAGUGGAAUUCCGAGUGUAGAGGUGAAAUUCGUAGAUAUUCGGAGGAACACCAGUGGCGAAGGCGGCUUAC